Molecule: ribosomal RNA, 327 nt
Filed under: uncultured Chloroflexota bacterium
Lineage: Bacteria; Bacillati; Chloroflexota
Description: bacterial SSU rRNA
Rfam family: Bacterial small subunit ribosomal RNA
Source: RNAcentral
GAUGAACGCUGGCGGCGUGCCUAAUACAUGCAAGUCGAACGGAGAUAUUGUAGCAAUACGGUAUUUUAGUGGCGAACGGGUGAGUAACGCGUUGGUGACCUGCCCCGAAGAGGGGGAUAACAGUCCGAAAGGAUUGCUAAUACCCCAUGUGGUCAUUUGGAUUAGAUGCCUUAUGACUAAACGGAUUUAUUCGCUUCGGGAGGGGCCUGCGUCCCAUCAGCUAGUUGGUAAGGUAAUGGCUUACCAAGGCUAUGACGGGUAGGGGACCUGAGAGGGUGGCCCCCCACAAUGGAACUGAAACACGGUCCAUACACCUACGGGUGGCUG